RNAcentral lists this ribosomal RNA (1068 nucleotides) under Streptomyces sp. SCAUEVF2r-1. Its description in RNAcentral is "bacterial SSU rRNA". It matches the Rfam family "Bacterial small subunit ribosomal RNA", at positions 92 to 1222 of the family's 1533-position model. Lineage: Bacteria; Bacillati; Actinomycetota; Actinomycetes; Kitasatosporales; Streptomycetaceae. The record is from RNAcentral.
GAAGUGGGGGGUGAGUCACAUGGCCAAUGGGCCGUUCACGCUGGGCAAGCCCUGGAAACGGGGUCUAAUACCGGAUAACACUCUGUCCUGCAUGGGGCUCCGGCGGUGAAGGUGAGGCCGCGGCCUAUCUGCUUGUUGGUGGGGUAAUGGCCUACCAAGGCGACGACGGGUAGCCGGCCUGAGAGGGCGACCGCCCACACUGGGACGAGACACGGCCCAGACUCCCACGGGAGGCAGCAGUGGGGAAUAUUGCACAAUGGGCGAAAGCCUGAUGCAGCGACGCCGCGUGAGGGAUGAGGGAAGAAGCGAAAGUGACGGUACCUGCAGAAGAAGCGCCGGCUAACUACGUGCCAGCAGCCGCGGUAAUACGUAGGGCGCCGUUGUCCGGAAUCAUUGGGCGUAAAGAGCUCGUAGGCGGCUUGUCACGUCGGAUGUGAAAGCCCGGGGCUUAACCCCGGGUCUGCAUUCGAUACGGGCUAGCUAGAGUGUGGUAGGGGAGAUCGGAAUUCCUGGUGUAGCGGUGAAAUGCGCAGAUAUCAGGAGGAACACCGGUGGCCAAGGCGGAUCUCUGGGCCGUUACUGACGCGAGGAGCGAAAGCGUGGGGAGCGAACAGGAUUAGAUACCCUGGUAGUCCACGCCGUAAACGUUGGGAACUAGGUGUUGGCGACAUUCCACGUCGUCGGUGCCGCAGCUAACGCAUUAAGUUCCCCGCCUGGGGAGUACGGCCGCAAGGCUAAAACUCAAAGGAAUUGACGGGGGCCCGCACAAGCAGCGGAGCAUGUGGCUUAAUUCGACGCAACGCGAAGAACCUUACCAAGGCUUGACAUAUACCGGGAAAGCAUCAGAGAUGGUGCCCCCCUUUGUGGUCGGUAUACAGGUGGUGCAUGGCUGCGUCAGCUCGUGUCGUGAGAUGUUGGGUUAAGUCCCGCCGAGCGCAACCCUUGUUCUGUGUUGCCUGCAAGCCCUUCGGGGUGAUGGGGACUCACAGGAGACUGCCGGGGUCAACUCGGAGGAAGGUGGGGACGACGUCCAGUCAUCACCGCCCGUCACGUCCGCAGUUGCGAACA